This 292-nucleotide ribosomal RNA is filed under the name Trypethelium eluteriae. Its description in RNAcentral is "partial small subunit ribosomal RNA". Lineage: Eukaryota; Fungi; Ascomycota; Dothideomycetes; Trypetheliales; Trypetheliaceae. The record is from RNAcentral.
AUGCCUUUUUAUUUUAAUAAAAAGAGUAUAUUAGGUUUAACUUUAUAUAUUAUUUUUAUUAAAUUAAGAAUUCAAUACCUUUGAAUGUAAUUCUAGAUAAAAUAUUGAUAAUGACAAAGUUUUAUCUAUAUGUCUUGACCAAAUCUUGUGCCAGCAGUCGCGGCAACACAAGGAAGACAAGUGUUAUUCAUCUUAAAUCGGUUUAAAGGGUACCUAGACGGUGAAUUAGGCCUUAAAUGGAACGUUUUUACUAGAGUUAUAUAUGCAUGAGGACUGUGUGAGUAUUACCAGA